CUUUUCGUAUUCCCAUUUCUUGCAAAUCGUAACGAGAAUUUACAUGAUCUUUUGACUUUCCAUCUAUCUCCAAUAAUAUCCCAAGAAUACUAUCACAUAUAUUUUUCUCAAUGUGCAUCAGAUCAAUAUUGUGCCUCAAUUUGUUAGUUUCCCAGUAUGGCAGUCAAAGGAAAUGGAUCUUUUCUUUCAUGGACACUUGUUAACCUAAGAUAUUUUCUUUUGGCUCUUUCCAAAGACAUUCUUUAAUUCACGCAACUCUUCGAGUAUUUC
RNAcentral lists this long non-coding RNA (270 nucleotides) under Nicotiana benthamiana. Its description in RNAcentral is "long non-coding RNA (NBEN_LNC024252)". The record is from RNAcentral. Lineage: Eukaryota; Viridiplantae; Streptophyta; Magnoliopsida; Solanales; Solanaceae.